AGGGUCUACAAGGAUUCCCAGGACCAGCCGGACCCCCAGGACCUGAGACUGUUGGAGCGCCUGGAUUUCCCGGUAAACCUGGCAUCCCAGGAGACGAGGGGAACAUCGGCCCUGAGGGACCUCCUGGACCAAGAGGAUCCAACGGACUUCCAGGACCUCCAGGCCCACCAGGACCCCCUGGACCUGCAGGGUCUGGUGGUGCUGGGAAUCCUGAAGGAAGCGGGGAGACUGUGAGUGCUUCUAGGCUUUAAUCUUUUCUCUUAAACAGCAGCAAAAUCUGCCCAAACCUU
This 290-nucleotide long non-coding RNA is filed under the name Astyanax mexicanus (Mexican tetra). RNAcentral describes it as "lncRNA (ENSAMXG00005001237.1)". The record is from RNAcentral. Lineage: Eukaryota; Metazoa; Chordata; Actinopteri; Characiformes; Acestrorhamphidae.